RNAcentral lists this unclassified non-coding RNA (346 nucleotides) under soil metagenome. RNAcentral describes it as "partial contains 5.8S ribosomal RNA, internal transcribed spacer 2, and large subunit ribosomal RNA". The stretch from base 1 to 119 matches the Rfam family "5.8S ribosomal RNA", at positions 35 to 154 of the family's 154-position model. The record is from RNAcentral.
GAUGAAGAACGCAGCGAAAUGCGAUACGUAAUGUGAAUUGCAAAUUCAGUGAAUCAUCGAGUCUUUGAACGCACAUUGCGCCCCCUGGUAUUCCGGGGGGCAUGCCUGUCCGAGCGUCAUUGCUGCCCUCAAGCACGGCUUGUGUGUUGGGCCCCGUCCUCCGAUCCCGGGGGACGGGCCCGAAAGGCAGCGGCGGCACCGCGUCCGGUCCUCGAGCGUAUGGGGCUUUGUCACCCGCUCUGUAGGCCCGGCCGGCGCUUGCCGAUCAACCCAAAUUUUUUAUCCAGGUUGACCUCGGAUCAGGUAGGGAUACCCGCUGAACUUAAGCAUAUCAAUGAGCGGAGGA